This 782-nucleotide ribosomal RNA is filed under the name uncultured Neocallimastigales. Its description in RNAcentral is "partial large subunit ribosomal RNA". It matches the Rfam family "Eukaryotic large subunit ribosomal RNA", at positions 22 to 645 of the family's 3401-position model. Lineage: Eukaryota; Fungi; Neocallimastigomycota; Neocallimastigomycetes; Neocallimastigales. The record is from RNAcentral.
AUAUCAGUCAUGCAUAGCAUAUCAAUAAGCGGAGGAAAAGAAACUAACAAGGAUUCCCCUAGUAACGGCGAGUGAAGCGGGAAGAGCUCAAAUUUGAAAUCUUAAAGGGUUUCCCUUUACGAAUUGUAGUUUAAAGAAGUGUUUUCUGUUGGAGUUUCGGUAAAAGUUCUUUGGAAUAGGACAUCAUAGAGGGUGAGAAUCCCGUAUUUGACCGUUACUUUCCAGCUGUGUGAUACACUUUCAAAGAGUCGGAUUGUUUGGGAAUGCAGUCCAAAAUGGGUGGUAAAUUUACAUCUAAAGCUAAAUAUUGGCGAGAGAGCCGAUAGCGAACAAGUACCGUGAGGGAAAGAUGAAAAGAACUUUGAAAAGAGAGUUAAACAGUACGUGAAAUUGUCAAAAGGGAAGCGUUUGACACCAGUGUUGUUUUAGUUGAAAAUCAAUUCAAGAAUGUUUUGAUUUUGAGGAGUAUUGACUUCAUCAGCUUGCUGCUUUCUUUUCAGAAAUUAUUGAAUGCACUUUUCAGUUAACAAGUCAACAUCAAUUUCUUUUGUUGUAAAAGGGUAAGAGGAAGGUGGCUUACUCUUCGGCGUAAAGUGUAUUAUAGCCUUGUACCUCUGCAAUCGGAGAGAUUGAGGUACUGCAGCGUAGACUCUUCGGGGUUAGAUACACUUGUGCUAAGCUAUAGCCUUGUAUAGACAACUUGUUGACUAUGCUCAGUCAUGUAGCUUACUCGCUUAUGCUAUUUUACCUACGCUUAGGAUGUUGAUCUCUCACAGUCGAGC